AGGACAGAGUCAGUGGCUGAGAAGAUGCUUACCAACUGGUUCACAUUCCUGCUGCAUAAGUUUCUGAAGGUGUGCCAGGUGGGCGGGCGGCAGGGAGGUGGUGGCAGAGGACCGGCCAGUGGUCAGGCAGGCAGCCAGCUGUGCACCUGUCCCUGGCUGCAGGAGUGCGCUGGGGAGCCUCUCUUCCUGCUUUACUGUGCCAUCAAGCAGCAGAUGGAGAAGGGCCCCAUUGAUGCCAUCACGGGCGAGGCACGAUACUCCCUGAGCGAGGACAAGCUCAUCCGUCAGCAGAUCGACUACAAGACACUGACCCUUCACUGCGUGUGUCCGGAGAACGAGAGCAGUGCCCAGGUCCCAGUGAAGGUUCUCAACUGUGACAGCAUCACCCAGGCCAAAGAUAAGCUGCUGGACACUGUGUACAAGGGCAUUCCGUACUCCCAGCGCCCCAAAGCUGAGGACAUGGACCUGGGUGAGGUCCCCACCCUCUCCUCCUGGCUCCCACUCAUCCCCUCCUGUGCCGUGUGACCUCUGUGGGCUCUGCCGCUCCCCACCUGAACCCUGUUCCCUAAGAGGAGUGGGCCGGGACUUGGGGGCUGCCAGCAU
This 603-nucleotide small RNA is filed under the name Pongo abelii (Sumatran orangutan). RNAcentral describes it as "retained intron". The record is from RNAcentral. Lineage: Eukaryota; Metazoa; Chordata; Mammalia; Primates; Hominidae.